Molecule: ribosomal RNA, 505 nt
Filed under: Malassezia globosa
Lineage: Eukaryota; Fungi; Basidiomycota; Malasseziomycetes; Malasseziales; Malasseziaceae
Description: eukaryotic LSU rRNA
Rfam family: Eukaryotic large subunit ribosomal RNA
Source: RNAcentral
CGGCGAGCGAGCGGGAGAGCUCAAAUUUGAAAGCUGGCACCUCCGGUGUCCGCGUUGUAAUCUCGAGACGUGUUUUCCGUGCGGCUCUAUGGACAAGUCCCUUGGAAUAGGGCAUCGUAGAGGGUGAGAAUCCCGUACUUGCCAUGGAAGAACCGUGCUUUGCGAUACACGCUCUAAGAGUCGAGUUGUUUGGGAUUGCAGCUCAAAAUGGGUGGUAGACUCCAUCUAAAGCUAAAUAUCGGGGAGAGACCGAUAGCGAACAAGUACCGUGAGGGAAAGAUGAAAAGCACUUUGGAAAGAGAGUUAAAAGUACGUGAAAUUGUCGAAAGGGAAAGCACUUGAAGUCAGCCAUGCUGCUUGAGACUCAGCCUGGCCUUUGGGCUUGGUGUAUUUCUCGGUGGCAAGCCAGCAUUGGUUUGGGUCGUCGGAGAAGCGCAUAGGGAAUGUAGCGUUUCCGGACGUGUUAUAGCCUUAUGCAGGAUACGACGACCUGGAUCAAGGAACG